This 697-nucleotide ribosomal RNA is filed under the name uncultured bacterium. Its description in RNAcentral is "bacterial SSU rRNA". It matches the Rfam family "Bacterial small subunit ribosomal RNA", at positions 102 to 797 of the family's 1533-position model. The record is from RNAcentral.
ACGGGUGAGUAAUGCUUGGGAAUCUGGCUUAUGGAGGGGGAUAACGACGGGAAACUGUCUCUAAUACCGCGUAGAGUCGAGAGACGAACCUGCGGGACCUUCGGACCGCAUGCCAUGAUAUGAUCCCCAGUGGGAUUAGGUACUUGGUGGGGUAAAGGCCUACCGGCCGACGAUCUCUAGCUGGUCUGAGAGGAUGACCACCCACACCGGGACUGAGACACGGCCCGGACUCCUACGGGAGGCACUCCUGGGGAAUAUUGCGCAAUGGGGGCAACCCUGACGCACCCAUGCCUCGUGAAUGAACAACGCCUUCGGGUUGAAAGGUUCUUUCUGUGACAACGAAGGUUGUUGUGUUAAUAGCGCAACAAAUUGACGUUCAUCACAGAAGAAGCACCGGGUAACUCCGUGCCCGCAUCCGCGCUAGUACGGAGGGUGCGAGCGUUAAUCGUAAUAACUGGUCGUAAAGGGCACUCAGGCGGCUAUUUAAGUGAGGUGUGAAAUCCCCGGUCUUAACCUGGGAAUUGCAUUUCCCACUGGUUAGCUAGAGUACUUUAGGGAUGGGUACAAUUCAACAUGUAGCAGUGAAAUGCGUAGAGAUGUGGAGGAAUACCGAAGGCAAAAGCAGCCCCUUGGGAAUGUACUGACGCUCAUGUGCUGAGCGUGAGGAGCAAACACGAUUAGAUACCCUGGUAUUCCA